CAACGACGGGAAAUCUGUUUACUGGUCACAAGAAAGAAAACUGGAAGAAGAAGAAGAAGAAGAAGAAGAAGAAGAAAGAAAACUGAGGCUAAAACCACCGGAAGAUUCCAUUAAAAUACUGCAUUGACGUCAUCGUCCAAAAACUUCAGAAGAAUAACAAAAGGCAGGAGGAUGUUGCUGAUCCACCUAUUUGUGUUCAAGAGGAAUUAGCUGUCUUCAACAAACUCGGUGAUCUUAGCAGAGCCUGCUGCUAUCUUGUGGGAUUGACAUAUGCCUUGGACCUGCGAUACCCCAAGAACUUUAAAGGGUUAGUUUACCCAAAAAUGAAAAUUAGCCCAUGAUUUACUCCCCCUCAAGGCAUCCUAGGUGUAUAUGACUUUCUUCUUUCAGACGAAUCCAAUCGGAGUUAUAUUAAAAAUUGUCCAGGGCUGCGUUUCCCAAAAGCAUUGUAAGCCUAAGAAGUUCUUAAAAACGAUCGUAAGACUGAUCUUAAUAUUACGGUCUGUUUCCCAAACGCAUCGUAACUUAAGUAGCACUUGAAAAUCAUCGUAGAUUUACGAGUGCUCUGUAAUCGUAAAGCACUAAGUGCAUCUUAAAGUCGGCAUGAAAUCAAAAUUGAAAAUUCAUAUUUUUUAAUGGAAUACUGUAGUGUUUAUUAUAAAUAAUUUAUCCAUGCACUUCAUUAUUUUUUUUAAAUUCACGUGCCUUUGUAAUCUUUAAUAAAAAAUGUUAACCUCCCCCCCCUCAAAACGACUCAUCUUCUCUUCCGGUCACGAGUGAUGGCGCAAGGGCGGAGCUAGUGACGUAAGGGGUAAGCGUUGGAAUAAACGACAGGGGAAAAGCUGAAGCUGAUGCUUCACUUUAUAGAAAUAAAUGCAUUGACCAGUGCUGACGUGAGCAAUGGGGUAGUACACUACCCUUAAAAAUUUUAAGGCUAUUAGGAUAUUACCACAACAUUACUCUUAGGACAUCGCAAAUUAAUUUUUUAAUGAAUAUGACUUAACCUGAUGGAGGACGCGCUCAGUCAUUCAGGCAGUCUCUCUCUCUCUCUCUCUUGCGCACGUGCUGUUAGGCAUGUUUUGUGCCGUUGAUCGUCCUCGUCGCCGUUACCUUCACUAAAUAAAAAAAUUCUUCAUGCUAGGGUGUCGGCGGUGAACCUAGGGAGAGAAAUCCCCCCACAACUAACUGCAAACUGGCAUUCAGAUCUUCCUCCGUUUUGUUAGCAACGCUUCAACUUCCAAUGAUCCAAUCAAUUUCGAAGGACGAAAUCAAGUCCCGCCUCUUAUUUCAGAUGCAGUUUCACUCAGAUAGACGUCACAGUAGAGAAAAAACGACAAUCGCUACUUCUGUUUCAUGCUGACUUUAAGAAGACUAAUGAGUAAAGAGUAAUGAGGUCUCCUGCAGGACAAUCGGCAGAUUACACCUUUAAAUUUAUUCAAGUGCAAUGUGAUUGUAAUAUAAGGUUUUGAUUGUACUUUAUUGUACACUUUAUUACUCUUAAAAAAAAAAAAAAAAAAAUGAAAUAAAAAGGGCAGAAAAAUAUAAAUAAACAUCUAAAUUAAAUGACUGAACAAAAAAUGAAUAACAUAAAUAAUGUAGGAAAUAUGCUUCAAAGACUGGGAAAAAUAUGGAUAAACUCAAAAACAAUCUGUCAAUGACAAAACCAGCCAUGUAUUGAACCUGGAAAUAACGUCUCUACAGAUAUUAUAUAUAAUAUGUUAUUGUAUAUUAAUAUUAUACUUAUAACUAUUAUAUUAUAUCUGAGCUGUCUGGAACUCAGCAAUAGGUUUACAUUUCAUUAAACGAGCAUGUACUACACAAUUGACAUUUCAGCACUUGACAAACGGAUAGCGACUUCUAAGUAGCUUUUAAAGCAGGGCUACGUGCGAUUGUGUUAAGUGCAUUUUUGGGAAACGCACGUGAAACAAUAACGAACAGAUCAGUCGUUACCGGGAAACCCGGCCCUGGCUCUUCCAAACUUUAUAAUGGCAUUGGGCGGGUGAUAGUGUUCAACUGUCCAAAAGAAGUCCAAAUAAAGUGCAUUCAUCCAUAAUUAAAAGUGCCUCACGCGGCUCCCGGGGGGUGAAUAAAGGCCUCCUGUAACAAAUUGAUGCGUUUUUGUAAGGAACAAAAAUCCGUAUUUCAGGGCUCUACAGUGCGACCAUUUACCAUUUGAAGUACUGCGUGCGACUAUCAAAAAAUCAGCAUAUAUGUGUUUGCGCUCAGGGAACUUCAAAGAUUUCUACUUUCGUGUUUUUGCAGCAUUGAGUAAUGUAUCGCAGACAUAUGUUGAUUCCUUGAAUGUAGUGUUAAUCAGAAUCCACUCACUGCUCAAAAUACUGGAGCUGUUCAUUGCUGAGUUAUGCCAUUAUAGAGCAGGACA
Onychostoma macrolepis is the source of this 2383-nucleotide long non-coding RNA. RefSeq lists it as uncharacterized. NCBI's taxonomy places the organism in Eukaryota, Metazoa, Chordata, Actinopteri, Cypriniformes, Cyprinidae. The record is from RefSeq and is a predicted model, not a curated record. The transcript has 3 exons.